GUGUAGGUGGUGCUGCUGGAAGGUGUGCUGAAGGGACCCAUGGCAGAGCAGCAUGGCACAGGCACUUAUCCACAAGUACAGGACCCAGGACAUCGCAGAGACCAUGGCCAUUCUCUAAAGAGAAGACACAGCAAGAGAGGAAAGAAGAUAUGGGUAUUGUCAGAAAAGGAGCCAGGCUCUGGGAGGUGGAAAGCUUGUCAUCUUCACCUUUAAAUCAUCUCCUGGCGUCACCUCUGCCUGCUGAGACCUUUGAAGUGAGGGUGAGACACGGUGAGAUAAUGCGCAGGGUCCCGAUGGAUGGAUGGGGAUCAGCGUACAGUCGCCAGCCAGCCGGCCCCACGCCAGUGCAUCCGGCGGCGGAGUCGGGCAGGGAAAUGUAGGAGCAGAGCUGCUAUACCGCGCUAUGGCACCAGCAAGGAUUCUCUGGAUACUCACUCCACUGCUCUGCCAAUCACUCCUAAGGCACCUACUGGGUGUCAGAUGCUUAGGACAAAGUAGAAAAGGAGACAGCUGUGCCCCCCC
This is a long non-coding RNA of Ictidomys tridecemlineatus (thirteen-lined ground squirrel), 522 nucleotides long. RefSeq lists it as uncharacterized. NCBI's taxonomy places the organism in Eukaryota, Metazoa, Chordata, Mammalia, Rodentia, Sciuridae. The record is from RefSeq and is a predicted model, not a curated record.